This 442-nucleotide ribosomal RNA is filed under the name uncultured bacterium. RNAcentral describes it as "partial 16S ribosomal RNA". It matches the Rfam family "Bacterial small subunit ribosomal RNA", at positions 338 to 795 of the family's 1533-position model. The record is from RNAcentral.
CCUACGGGAGGCAGCAGUGGGGGAUAUUGCACAAUGGGGGAAACUCUGAUGCAGCGACGCCGCGUGGGCGAAGAAGUAUUUCGGUAUGUAAAGCCCUAUCAGCAGGGAAGAAGAAAUGACGGUACCUGAGUAAGAAGCACCGGCUAAAUACGUGCCAGCAGCCGCGGGAAUACGUAUGGUGCAAGCGUUAAACGGAUUUACUGGGUGUAAAGGGAGCGCAGGCGGCACGGCAAACCUGAUGCGAAAGCCCGAGGCCCAACCGCGGGACUGCAUUGGGAACUGCCGGGCUUGAGUGCCGGAGAGGUAGGCGGAAUUCCUAGUGUAGCGGUGGAAUGCGUAGAUAUUAGGAGGAACACCAGUGGCGAAGGCGGCCUACUGGACGGUGACUGACGCUGAGGCUCGAAAGCGUGGGGAGCAAACAGGAUUAGAUACCCCAGUAGUC